Molecule: long non-coding RNA, 3297 nt
Filed under: Mus musculus (house mouse)
Lineage: Eukaryota; Metazoa; Chordata; Mammalia; Rodentia; Muridae
Description: predicted gene, 32817, transcript variant 39 (Gm32817)
Source: RNAcentral
AGUCCCGGCUAGGGACACAGCUCUUAGACUUUGAGCUAGACAACCAGGAGGACAGGAGGACCUAGUAUCCUGCCUCCAUCAGCCCAUCAUUUAUGCAAAUGCUACUUAGUUGCCGUCUAGAUGCAGGAUGCUGUCUGCCCUGUUAAAUGCUGUGUGAACCCAGAUGGAAGCUGAGCAGACAUCACACUCGUGAGCAGCUCCCCUUCCUGUGAGCAUCUCCCCUUCCUAUGCUGAGAUUAAAGGCAUGUGCCAUCACCACCUGAACAACAGCAGCUUUCUAAGGAACCAGUAAGGCACUACAGACUUUUCAUAUAACAUCACCUUCAUUCUCUCACAACUAAUUCUACAAAACAGAUGUUAUACGACCUCGUUCGCUGAAGUCAAAGAUGCAGAGGGGCCAAGGUGUGGGCUCCGGACCUCACACCAGUGUGGCAGAUUCAACAAGCCCAGAAUAAGCCUCUUCCUUUGCUCACAAUAAGAUUAAGCCAACUGCCUCUUCAUUCCUCAGUCACACUCCUCCUCUGACCCUGCUCCAGGAGGCUCAUCUUGUCAGACUUCACACUGAAUGAGCGCUGAGGAUGCUGUAGAGUAUGAGCUGUGUGCAGGAUUGCUAUCUUCUGGUCCUGUACUCCUCAAGCUCAAAGGCCAACGUCCUGGCAUUUGUGUGACGGCUUUUGCCCUACCCUGCAGAAUUUGCAAUAGGCAGUCUCUACAUGUACUCAGGGCCCAGUGGGCAUUCAACAUGUUCAUUGAAUGACAACUUUGGUGACAAGUUCCUUAUUUGCACAUAUGCUUUUGAGAUGUUUGCAACCAUUCUCCACCCCAGCCGGGUUCCCAUGUGGCCAUCUGGAAGUGAGCACACCAAACAGUCUUCAAAUAUCAUUCCAACCCCCUUCCUGUCUAAAUGUCCAAUACCAUUUGCUGAGACUGAAAAGAACGGAACCCACAGCUGUCCCCAGAGCUCAGUCACUUUGUGGUCUUGCUGGGAGCCACCACCAAUUGGCAGGACUCUUCCUGAUCAAACCCUAGAUGCUCUACCUUCCAGAUCUGAAGACUUUUUGACCCAGAUCCAAGUCUGAAAGCUCCUAUCUGCACAUAAUGUUUCAAAAGCAAUUUGUGCCCCUGAAACAAGCCAACCAGCAGAGAAGGAACAAAAGAAACAUGGUGUCUUCUACCUCCAGCCUUGAAGCUUCCAGACCUCCCUACACGAACCCCCCCCCCACACCCACUCCCCGAAAUGAUGUCCCAGUGAAGAGCCAGGCUCUUAUCCUUCCAUCCAUGCCUCUCAGGCGUCUGCUUCAUUUAGCAUGUAUGUGCAUUUUACCAGGUUAAUGCAACACAGACUAUUUCCUAGUAGCUGUGAAGCCCAGUGUAGCCUCUGCUGCCGGACACAUGGUUUGUCUCCAGUCUUUCCCUUCCCAGCAAAGCAGCCUUGACUCAUCUCCUUUCUCUAUGACAGAGCCCUUUAGAAUGUACUCACUGGGCCAACGAUGCAGUUUCAAUUUGGGUUUUUAAUGGAAGUGGGUGGCUAGGUAAGUGGGUUGAAUGACUGACUGAUUCUGAAUAGCUCUGAAUUUAUUGAGCUGCUUCCAGGAAGGUCCAGGUGACCUGGGUAGCAGAAAGGACACCCAUUCCUGUUUGAUGGUGUUUUUUUUCUAUCUAUCAUCCUUCCUGUCUUUCCUUCUUUAUUUCUUUCUGGGUGAGACAGGGUCUUAUAAUACAGUUUCAGCCAGCCUGGAACUCAUUAUGUAAACCAGGCUGGUCUCCAGCUCAUGGAGAUGAGCCUGCCUUUGCUUCCCAUGUACUGAAAUUAAAGCCCAGCUUGUUUUUUUCUCUUUACCACACUGGGGAUUCAACCCAAGGCUAGUAAGCACCCUGGCACUGAGUAUAUUCUGGACCUCUUCUUAUUUUAAUGUUGAUGUAGGGUCCUGCUAAGUUUCCCAGACUGACCUUCAACUCACUAUGCAAGUCCAGGCAGGCCUUGAACUCACGAUCCUCCUGGUUCAGCUUCCUGAGCUGAUGAGUGGCAGGCACCAUUAGUCUCAUUCGGAAGGAUGUGCUUCAUCCUUGGUGAAAGCGCUCAUCUCUUGUCUUGGCUGGCUAGAAUUUCCAGGGUGAAGAAAGGAGGAUUAGAAAAGUUCAAGGUCACCCUCCCCUACAUAGAGAGUUCAAGGCCAGGCUGGGCCACAUGAGAAAAACCAAAAGAACAGAUGGUGUUAGCAGGAGGUAGGGAAGGAGUAGGGAGGUCCAGCCCUGGGUGGGGCAGAGCCCCUGCUAAAGACAAGGGACAUUCCUUAGUGUCAACUUUCCCUUAGGAUGGAGAGGAGGGGUUGCUAGCUCGUCACACCCCACAGCCCUGGAGGACAGGAGCUUACUGUUGAGUUAGUGGGGCAGAGUCGGGGAGAGGCUGUCAUUUCGGCAGCCCUGGUACAUGGAGCCACUAGCAGGCUUCUUCGUCUCAUGUCUUCAUCCGCACCACCUCCUAGCAGCCUGCCCUCCCCAACUUGUCCACUUAAAGCCUGGGCCAGUGAGAUGACUCUGCAGAUAAAGGUAUUGUCACCCAGCCUGAGGACCUGAGUUCAAUUUCUGGGUUCCAUAUGAUGGAAGGAGAGAACUGAGUCCCUUAACUUGAUCUCUAACCUGCACAUGUGGAUUGUGAAUGGGCUUAUGUGCCCACACACCCUCUCUCUCACACAAUAAACAUAAGUAAUAAAUGUAUACAUGCAUAUACACAUACAUAAUACACACAUACAUACAUGCUUGAAUGCAUACAUACGUUCGUAUGUAUGUCCUUGCCACUCUCUUGGAACCUGACUCCUACAGAAUGUAACCUUGAUUUGUGCUCCAGGCUCACUUGACACCUGGCUUCUGUGGCUUGUUCGAGUCCUCUGUCUCCCAGACAAUGAGCUAGGAUUCUGGUCAUUCAGGUUCAGCCUGGGUGCAGAGAGUUUUGAGUGGGCCUGUCCACUGGAGACCACUCCUCUCGUCACCCAUGAAGCAUCUAAAGUUAAGUAUGAUGGUGCAGACCUGGAAUCCCAGAAUUCAGGAGGUGGGGGCAGGGAUUUCUAAACUCAGAAGUCAGCCUGAGCUAUCUAGAGAGAUGCUGUUUCAAAAAUUUAAAACAGCCGGGUGUGGUGGCACACGCCUUUAAUCCCAGCACUCGGGAGGCAGAGGUAGGCGGAUUUCUGAGUUCGAGGCCAGCCUGGUCUACAAAGUGAGUUCCAGGACAGCCAGGGAUAUACAGAGAAACCCUGUCUCGAAAAACCAAAAAUAAAAAAUAAAUAAAACAAAACCGAA